RNAcentral lists this small RNA (868 nucleotides) under Arabidopsis thaliana (thale cress). RNAcentral describes it as "ATSL277320". Lineage: Eukaryota; Viridiplantae; Streptophyta; Magnoliopsida; Brassicales; Brassicaceae. The record is from RNAcentral.
UUUUUAAAAAUAUUAAUCUUUCAUAUUAUAGUUUUUUUUUGUUUGUAGAUGCUUAUGGUAUUGUCGUGAGAGUUGGGAAUAUAACAAGACCGGACUUUGUCCCUCAAGCUUCAGAAAAUACUAUACUUUCUCAUUUUCUCGAAUUUGAGAUUAAAAAUUCUUGGUUAGUAUUUUCCAAUAUAUAGUUCGUCAUCUAUUUGCUUAUAUAUUUGAAUGCACAAACAUAGUAAAUAUUGUUAUCUUUAUAGUUGGUUUAAUUCAUAGAACUUAGAUGUUUUGGUGUAAUAAUUUGAUAUUGUUAUUAGGGGUAAAUCUCUCAUAUGUGUUGCAACCGGAUAUACUUGUGAGUUGUUUGUGCAAUUAUGGAGGGGACUUGGUCUAGAACUUGGUUAUCACUGGAACUUUGGUAUGAAUCCUACAAUCUGUGUGCUACGAUUUUGGAAUGUUGAUGAUCAUGAAGGUAUAUUUAAGACUCAUUUUAUGUUAUCUAUAAUUUAUAUAGCUACUUCAUAUAAUAAAAAAGUUAAUAUUUUAGGUCGUCAAUGUCUAAUCUCACAUAAUGGUGCUUCAAGAAUUACAUUCAAUCAAAGUUACCCACAAAUUAACAUGGAUCGCGUCAGGUAAGAACGUUUAUAUUUACAUUAUCCCUUAACUGUUUAUUGUAUUUUUUAAAAUUUUGGUCUUGGUUAUUUUUAUUUUUUCUAUUUUCCUACUGUUUCAGAACUCAAUUCCUUCAACGAAUGCAAACACCUGAGCUAGAUGAAGUUGUGGACGAGAACUGAAAAUGCAACCCCAGACCCCUAUCUAUCGUUUUAUUUAAAAACUUAUCUACAUAUGUUUUAAAGUUGUACUUUUAAAGACUUUGUUU